This 468-nucleotide ribosomal RNA is filed under the name uncultured bacterium. Its description in RNAcentral is "partial 16S ribosomal RNA". It matches the Rfam family "Bacterial small subunit ribosomal RNA", at positions 28 to 507 of the family's 1533-position model. The record is from RNAcentral.
GACGAACGCUGGCGGCGUGCUUAACACAUGCAAGUCGAACGGAAAGGCCCUGCUUUUGUGGGGUGCUCGAGUGGCGAACGGGUGAGUAACACGUGAGUAACCUGCCCUUGACUUUGGGAUAACUUCAGGAAACUGGGGCUAAUACCGGAUAGGAGCUCCUGCUGCAUGGGGGGGGUUGGAAAGUUUCGGCGGUUGGGGAUGGACUCGCGGCUUAUCAGCUUGUUGGGGGGGUAGUGGCUUACCAAGGCUUUGACGGGUAGCCGGCCUGGGAGGGUGACCGGCGACCUUGGGACUGAGAGACGGCCCAGACUCCUACGGGAGGCAGCAGUGGGGAAUAUUGCACAAUGGGCGGAAGCCUGAUGCAGCAACGCCGCGUGCGGGAUGACGGCUUUCGGGUUGUAAACCGCUUUCGCCUGUGACGAAGCGUGAGUGACGGUAAUGGGUAAAGAAGCACCGGCUAACUACGUG